This 567-nucleotide ribosomal RNA is filed under the name uncultured archaeon. RNAcentral describes it as "bacterial SSU rRNA". It matches the Rfam family "Archaeal small subunit ribosomal RNA", at positions 312 to 879 of the family's 1478-position model. The record is from RNAcentral.
CGCGAAUCGCCCUUCGGGGUGCAGCAGGCGCGAAAACUUUACAAUGCUGGCAACAGCGAUAAGGGGACCUCGAGUGCCAGGAUACAAUCUUGGCUGUCGCGAUGCCUAAAAAGCAUUGCAUAGCAAGGGCCGGGCAAGACCGGUGCCAGCCGCCGCGGUAACACCGGCGGCUCGAGUGGUAACCGCUAUUAUUGGGUCUAAAGGGUCUGUAGCCGGCCGGAUAAGUCUUUUGGGAAAUCCAGCUGCUCAACAGUUGGGCUUUCAGAAGAUACUGUUCGGCUCGAGACCGGGAGAGGUGAGAGGUACUUCAGGGGUAGGGGUGAAAUCUUGUAAUCCUUGAAGGACCACCAGUGGCGAAGGCGUCUCACCAGAACGGAUCUGACGGCAAGGGACGAAAGCUAGGGGCACGAACCGGAUUAGAUACCCGGGUAGUCCUAGCCGUAAACGAUACUCGCUAGGUAUCAGCCACGGUGCGACCGUGGUUGGUGCCGUAGGGAAGCCGUGAAGCGAGCCACCUGGGAAGUACGGCCGCAAGGCUGAAACUUAAAGGAAUUGGCGGGGGAGCAC